UACGAGGGGGGCGAGCGUUGUUCGGAAUUAUUGGGCGUAAAGGGUGCGUAGGCGGUUCCGCAAGUCCUGUGUGAAAUCUUCGGGCUCAACUCGAAGUCUGCACGGGAAACUGCGGGGCUUGAGUGUGGGAGAGGUGAGUGGAAUUCCUGGUGUAGCGGUGAAAUGCGCAGAUAUCAGGAGGAACACCAAUGGCGAAGGCAGCUCGCUGGGACGGUACUGACACUGAGACGCGAAAGCGUGGGGAGCAAACAGG
RNAcentral lists this ribosomal RNA (253 nucleotides) under uncultured bacterium. Its description in RNAcentral is "partial 16S ribosomal RNA". It matches the Rfam family "Bacterial small subunit ribosomal RNA", at positions 524 to 776 of the family's 1533-position model. The record is from RNAcentral.